Molecule: long non-coding RNA, 5107 nt
Filed under: Homo sapiens (human)
Lineage: Eukaryota; Metazoa; Chordata; Mammalia; Primates; Hominidae
Description: HSALNT0352073
Source: RNAcentral
UAUAUUGAAAUUAUUAUCAUCCUCUCCCAAACUGAAUAUUAAAAACAACGUCACGGGGCUGCUGUGACCCCAGUAAUAUGGACAGUACUAUCAUUGUCUCCCUCCCUAAAUAUUAAGAACAGUAUCACAAGAGAGGUGUACACCCCCUGCGAUAUGGCCAGUAAUAUCAUCGUCUCUACCUUUGGAUACUAGGAACAACAUCACAGAGGGUGUGUACACCCCCUGCGAUAUUGGGCAUAAUGUUAGCCUCUCUUCCCCUGGACAUAAGGAACAAUAUCCCUGGUCGGGGGAGGUGGAGUACAUUAAGAACAAUAUCUGAAGGAGGUGGGUGUACACCCCCUGAGAUAUUGGGUGUAGUAUCAUCCUCUCUUUCCUAGGAUACUAAGAACAAUAUCACAGGAGGGGUGUACAGCCCCUGCGAUAUUGGGAGUAAUAUCAUCCCCUCCCCCUCUCUAUAUAAGGAACAAUAUCCCGGGGUGGGUGUACAUCCCCUGCGAUAUUGGGCGUAAUGUCAUCGUCUCCCAACGUGGAUAUUGGCAAUAAUGUCCCAGGGGGUUGUACACCUUCUUCGAUAUUGGGAGUAGUAUCGUCCUCUCCCCUCGGGAUUGUAGGCAAAAUAUGGAAGGGGUUUUACAACUCAUGCGAUAUGGGCAGUAAUAUCAUCCUCUCUCCACCUAGAUAUUAGGAACUAUAUCACAGGCGGCUGUACACUUCUUGCGAUAUUGGGAGUAAUAUCAUCCUCUCCCAUCAUGGAUAUUAAGAACAAUAUUACCAAAGAGGUGUACACCCCCUGCGAUAUUGACAGUAAUAUUUGGCUCUCCCCUUCGGGAUAUUAGGAACAAUAUCGCAGGAGGUGUGCACAACCCCUGCGAUAUUGGGAGUCAUAUCAUCCUCUCCCCCUGAAUAUAAGAAACAAUAUCACGGGAGGAUGUACACCCCGUGCGAUAUUGGGAGUAAUAUCAUUUUCUCCCCCUCGGGAUAUUCGGAACAAUAUCACAGUGGGUGUGUACAGCCGCUGCGACAUUGCCACCAGUAUCAUCCUCUCCCUCCCAGGAUAUAAGGAACAAUGUCACAAGGGGGCGCACACCCCCUGCGAUAUUGGGGGUAAUAUCUUCCUCUGCCCCGCUGGCUAUUAGGAACAAUGUCACAGAAGGGGUGUCCACUCCCUGCUAUAUUGGGAAUGAGAUCUUCCUCUCCAUCCCUGAGUAUUAGGAACAAUAUCCCUAGGGAGUGUACACCUCCUGCAAUAGUGAGACUAAGAUCAUCCUCUCGCCCCCUGGAUAUUAGGAUCAAUAUCAUAGGGGUGGUGUACACCCCCUGCGAAAUUGGAAGAAAUAUCAUCCUCUCCACCUUUGGACGUUAGGGACAGUAUCACGGGGGAUGUCUACGCCCCCUGCGAUAUUGGGAGUCAUAUCAUCCGCUCCCACCCAGGACAUUAGGAACAAGAUGACUGAACGGAGGUACACCCGCAGCGACAUUUUCAAUAAUGUCAUCCUCUACGUCCUGGCAAUUAGGAGAAACAUCAUAGAGGGGUGUACACUUUCAGCGACAUCGGGAGUAAUAUCCUCUCCCCCACAGAUAUCGGGAACAGUUAUAUUAAUUAUUAAUAUUAAUAAAUAUAUUAAUAAUUAAUAGUAAUCAUCGAUAUUAAUAAUUGCAAUAGAGAUAGUAAAAGUGAAUAUGGAUAAAAAUAUUAACAAUUACUAUUAAUAAUAGCAAUAUCACUAUUAAUAAUAAAAUAAUGAUAUUAUUAAUCAAUGUUACAUAAAUCAGUCAUAAGUGAUGUUGGUAAUAAAACAAUAAUUAAUAUUAAGAUUAAUAACUAAUAUUAUUGAAAAAUGACAUUAAUACAGAUAAUUUUAAUCAUGCAUAAUUGUACAUUUAAAAUAAUCAUUAAUGAUUAAUAACGUUAUACUAUUAAUUAAUAUUACCAUUGAUAAUUAUUAAGACUGAUGUUUAACAAUUAAUAAUAUUAUUAAGAUUGAUGCUUAAUAAUUAAUCGUAUUAUUUCUCCUAAUACCGCAGGGGGUGUACACCUACCCGUGAUAUUGUUCCUAAUAUCCAGGGAUGGAGAGCAUGAUAUUAGUUUUAAUAUCUCAGUAGGUGUACACUCACCCUGUGACACUGAUCCUAAUAUCCAGGGAGUAGAGUAUGACAUGACUCCCAACAUAGCAAUGAAUGUACAGCCACCCGGUGAUAUUGCUCCUAGUAUUCACGGAAGAAGCGUAGGAUAUUACUUCCAAAAUCGCAGGGAGUGUACACCUCUUCUGUGAUAUUGUUCCUGGUAUCCCGAGGGGGAGAGGAUGAUAAUAAUUCCAGUAUCGCAGGCUGUGAUCACCCACCCUGUGAUAUUGUUAUUAACAUCCUGAAAGGGAGAGGAUGAUAUUACUCCCCGUAAUAGAUAGAUAUUACUCCCCAUAACAGAGCAGGAGGUGUACACCCACCCUGUGAUAUUGUUCCUAAUAUUCAGAGGCCGAGAGGUCGAUAUUACUCCCAAUAUGGCAGGAAGUGUACACCCCCGUGUGAGAUGGUCCUUAAUAAUAUUCCAAGGCGGAGGGGGAGAUAUUACUCCCAAAAUCGCAGAAAGUGUACACCCCCAGGGAUAUUGUUCUCAUGAUCCUGGAGGGAAGAGGAUGAUAUCACUUUAAAUAUCACAGAAGGGAGGAAGACGAUGAUAUUACUCCCAAAACAGACGGCUGUACACCCUCUGCACACCGAGGGUCUACCCCCAUCUGUGAAAUAGUUUAUAAUUUCCAGAGGGGGAGAUGAUAUCACUCCGAAUAUCGUAAACAGGCUGCUUCGGUAGAUUGCAAAUGACCUGCUUUCUUUCGGAUCCCGGGCUGCUUUCGGACACCUGUCGAAUAGUAAAUCCCAAGUAAGGUACCUGCGGUCGUCGGCAGAUCUGAAUUUUCUUCUUGGACACCUAAUACCCACAGUCCUCCAGAGACCGAGAGGUUGAUGUCACUCCCAAUAUCGGAGGAAGUAUACACCCCCGUGUGAGAUGGUCCUUAAUAAUAUUCCACGGCGGAGGGGGUGAUAUGACUACAUACAUGGCAGAAAGUGGAAACCUCCCAGGGAUAUUGUUCCCACGAUCCUGGAGGGAAGAAGAUGAUGUUACUUUCAAUAUGACAGAAGGUGGAUGAAGUGGUGGACUGCCCCUCCACACCUGUGGACACGCCCCCACUGAUAUUCCUUCUAAUUGCAGCGUGGGAGAGGAGGAUAUGACACGCGAUAUCGCAGGGAGUAGAAACACCCCUGUGAUACUGUUCUUAAUAUUCAGGGAGGAAGAGGAUGAUAUUACUCCCAAUACAGACGGGUGUACACCCUCUGUACACCGAGGGUGUACACCUGUCUGUGAAAGAGUUCGUAAUCUCCAGAGGGGGAGAUGAUAUUACUCACAAUAUGGUAAAGAGGCUGUGAGUCCACGGAGGAUCCUCAGAGCCAGCGGGGGAAGAGGGGCUGGCUCUCAGUCCCCGCCUCGCGGGGGUGACUCCCCCCAGUGCGAUGGGGGUCCUAAGAGCCAGUGGGGGAAGAGGGGCUGGCUCUGAGACCCCGCCUCGCGGGGGGUGCCUCCCCGCCCUGUGAUGGGGGUCCGAAGAGCCAGAAGGCUUAGAGGGGCUGGCUCUCAGUCCCCGCCUCGCGGGGGGUGCCUCCUCCCCCUGCGAUGGGGGUCGUAAGAGCCACUGGGGGAAUAGGGGCUUGCUCUCAGUCACCGCCUCGCGGGGGGUGCCUCCUUUCCUUUCUACAUAGACACAGUGACAGUCUGAUCUCUCUUUCUUUUCCCUACAGAUGGACACGCCCCCACUGAUAUUGUUUUUAAUGCAGCGUGGGAGGGGAGGAUAUGACACGCGAUAUCGCAGGUAGUAGAAACACCCCUUUGAUAGUGUUCUUAAUAUUCAGGGAGGAAGAAGAUGAUGUUACUCCCAAUACAGACGGAUGUACACCCUCUGUACACCGAGGGUGUACACCCGUCUGUGAAGGAGUUCGUAAUCUCCAGAGGUGGAGAUGAUAUUACUCACAAUAUGGUAAACAGGCUGUGAGUCCAUCGCGGAUCCUCAGAGCCAGGUGGGGAAGAGGGGCUGGCUGUCAGUCCCCUCCUCGCGGGGGGUGCCUCCCCCACUGCUAUGGGGAUCCCAAGAGCCAGUGGGGGAAGAGGUGCUGGCUCUCAGUCUCCGCCUCGCGAGGUGCCUCCCCACCCUGCGAUCGGGGUCCGAAGAGCCAGGGGGGAAGAGGGGCUGGCUCUCUUCGUGGAUGAUUCUUUUUCCAUUCUCAGGCAGUUUUCUUUUUUCUUUCUUUCUUUUUUUUUUUUUUUGAGACUGAGUCUUGCUCUGUUGCCCAUGCUUUGCUCGAUCUCGGGUGACUGCAACCACUGCCUCCCAGGUUCAAGAGAUUCUCCUGCCUCAGCCUCCUGAGUAGCUGGGACUAGAGGCGUGUGUCACCACACCCAGCUAAUUUUUGUAUUUUUAGUAGAGAUGGGGUUUCACCAUGUUUGCCAGGAUGGUCUCUAUCUCCUGCCCUUGUGAUCCACCCACCUCAGCCUCCCAAAGUGCUGGGAUUGCAGGUGCGAGCCACCGGGUCCAGCCUCUCAGGCGAUUUUCAUACCUGCAUACUCUGGUCACUACUCUGUUAAACAGUCAAGGAGGCUGAGUGCCACGUGCUGACGUCACUAAGAUCAAUACAGCAAACUCUGAAAGAUGGACAGAGAGACAGGAGAUGGUCCUUUAUAAUGCAGUGUGAUCUGUGCUGCAAUAGAGUUUUGGAAGCUAGAAGUUCAAAACGAGGUGUUGGCAGCACCAUGCUCUCUCUGAAGAUGCUAGGAAGAAUCUGCUCCAUGCCUUUCCAUUCGCUUCUGGGGUUUCCUGCAAGCCCUGACAUUCCUUGGCUUGUAGAUGCAUCACCCCAGUUUCCGCCCCCAUCAUCACAUGGCCUCCUCUCUGUGUGUGCCUCUGCGUUCCCUCUAUUCUUCUUCUAAGGACACCGACACCAGUCAUAGUGGAUUAAGUGUCCACUCCUAACCAAUUACAUCUGCAACAACCCUAUUUCCAAAUAAAGUCACAUUCUAAGAUUCCUAGGGAGAACAUGAAUUUUUGGGGGUGUGUGGAUACUG